AGUGAACGCUGGCGGUAGGCCUAACACAUGCAAGUCGAACGGCAGCACAGUAAGAGCUUGCUCUUACGGGUGGCGAGUGGCGGACGGGUGAGGAAUACAUCGGAAUCUACUUUUUCGUGGGGGAUAACGUAGGGAAACUUACGCUAAUACCGCAUACGACCUACGGGUGAAAGCAGGGGAUCUUCGGACCUUGCGCGAUUGAAUGAGCCGAUGUCGGAUUAGCUAGUUGGCGGGGUAAAGGCCCACCAAGGCGACGAUCCGUAGCUGGUCUGAGAGGAGGAUCGGCCACACUGGAACUGAGACACGGUCCAGACUCCUAAGGGAGGCAGCAGUGGGGAAUAUUGGGCAAUGGGCGCAAGCCUGAUCCAGCCAUACCGCGUGGGUGAAGAAGGCCUUCGGGUUGUAAAGCCCUUUUGUUGGGAAAGAAAAGCAGCAGGUUAAUACCCAGCUGUUCUGACGGUACCCAAAGAAUAAGCACCGGCUAACUUCGUG
RNAcentral lists this ribosomal RNA (492 nucleotides) under uncultured bacterium. Its description in RNAcentral is "partial 16S ribosomal RNA". It matches the Rfam family "Bacterial small subunit ribosomal RNA", at positions 29 to 507 of the family's 1533-position model. The record is from RNAcentral.